This 454-nucleotide ribosomal RNA is filed under the name uncultured Allobrachymonas sp. Its description in RNAcentral is "bacterial SSU rRNA". It matches the Rfam family "Bacterial small subunit ribosomal RNA", at positions 923 to 1382 of the family's 1533-position model. The record is from RNAcentral. Lineage: Bacteria; Pseudomonadati; Pseudomonadota; Betaproteobacteria; Burkholderiales; Comamonadaceae.
GCACAAGCGGUGGAUGAUGUGGUUUAAUUCGAUGCAACGACGAAAACCUUACCCACCUUUGACAUGGCAGGAAUCCCGAAGAGAUUGGGAGUGCUCGAAAGAGAACCUGCACACAGGUGCUGCAUGGCUGUCGUCAGCUCGUGUCGUGAGAUGUUGGGUUAAGUCCCGCAACGAGCGCAACCCUUGCCAUUAGUUGCUACGAAAGGGCACUCUAAUGGGACUGCCGGUGACAAACCGGAGGAAGGCGGGGAUGACGUCAAGUCCUCAUGGCCCUUAUAGGUGGGGCUACACACGUCAUACAAUGGCCGGUACAGAGGGUAGCCAACCCGCGAGGGGGAGCCAAUCCCAUAAAGCCAUUCGUAGUCCGGAUCGCAGUCUGCAACUCGACUGCGUGAAGUCGGAAUCGCUAGUAAUCGUGGAUCAGAAUGUCACGGUGAAUACGUUCCCGGGUCUU